AAAAAAAUGGAAUGCCCCCUAAGAAUAUUUCAAAGAAAUUGCCUUUUAAGUUUCCUUUCUUCUCCGAUCUCCACCCAACCUCCCUGCUGUUGGCAGACAGCAGGGGGCAGGACUCACACAAAGGUGAUGCUGUGCUCAGAUGCUCUGUUGAUCUCAGAGGGGUGACUGGCUUUUUUUUUUUUUGCUAUGGGGCUCACCUCCUGGCUCUUGGUGGACUUAAAAGGCAUCCACUUUGCAAGGAAAAGAUUUUUAAAUGUUAAGUUCAUAGCAUGAUAAUAGCCCUGGAGGCUUUGUCGUGGGGGAGAGAGAGAACAGAUAGAAGUGCCAACGGCAGCAACAGGAAAACGUGAGCUGAUAACGCAGUAAAUUGUAACCACGGUGCUGAGGAAGACGCAGUAAGGAACGUCCUGGAGGUAGGAAUGGGAGUCUGAGGUUGGUUAAAAAAAAAUAAAAGUAGGCUUCUGCUGAUGGAAAGAAGGCUGCUAGGCCGUCCAAGCAAGGGAAAGCCAGCAGAGACAGAGGUGUGGGGUGGAAAGAGAGGUGUGCAGGGCGGAGAGGGCGGGAAGGAAAGAGACUCCACUGUAAAGAGCAAUACUCAAGGUCAGAUCAGUCAGCAGCCUUAGGGAAGCCCUCUCCUAGAUGGCCAUUCAGAGCAAGACCCUGGACCACUUUGUGUGGAAAAUCUACCUGUGAGGCCCCAGACAUCCGGGAUCACAGCGGGAAGCCACCCAUAAAAUCCUGGAAGAGGCACCGCUCUUCUCCCAUGCAUGAUUCCUGAUAAAUCCCAGGGGCUUGGACACCAGGAUUCAGAUCCAGUUUUUGGUUAAGGCCUUGCAGUUGACCGUGAACCGUGAUAGACUGGUUGGUGAGCUCCCACGAAAUCCUCAGUCCUGAACAAUGUCACCGAGCCUGCCCUCAGCUCAGUUCACCUGGCUCCCCUAGUACCCUAAACUUCUGGCACUGUUGAAAUUUCUAGAGGAAGCCCUUUAGCCAGCUUUUUGUACAUGCUUCAGAAAAAUCUUAAAGGUCCUCUCUACAGCAUAACCCGUAGGAUCUUCCUUGUGUUGGCAUCUUAAGGGUAAAUGGAUCGCUUCCUCUCACCACAGCUGUUAUCACUAACAAAGUAUUCGGCCUGUACUUGUAAUGAAACCAAGUCCAUUUAACUCUUUGAAACUUAUUUCCAGCCUUUAGGGAAAAAAAAUCCUAUCCAGCUGGUAACAUAUGAUGCUUUCAACAGAAAUCCAAUAUCAUUAUUUUUGGAAGUUUUUUUUUUUUUUCCUAUUUAUUUAUUUAGCUGCAUCAGGUCUUAGUUGCAACAUGCAGGAUCUUCCCUUGCAGCCAACGGACUCCCUAGUUGUGGCAGGUGGGCCCGUUGUUUCGUGUGGAAUCUUAGAUCCCUGACUAGGGAUUGAACUAUGUCCCCUGCGUUGCAAAGUGGAUUAUUAAGCACUGGGCCACCUGUGAAGGCCCCCAGUAUCACUAUUAGCUGGUGGGCAGCCAUACUUUUCACCUGAAGGCGACCAACUGGGAAGCUUUUAUAAUCAGGUUCAUCUGCAACCCAUCUGAGUCAAGCCUACAUCGCCUGCCCCAAACCAUUCACUGUCUUUUUACAGAAUUGGUGGUUUCUCACCUCUCAGUGACCAGACGAUUUCAUCUGCAUCUUACUCAUUACCUACAGUGUCACUUUUAUGCUCUUCACCCAGCCUCUUCCCCUUUGAGGAAUUUCCCAUCAUCCUUUGCACCGUUAUAUGCAUCCCUGGCCUUGGGCGCGCGUAAAAGGGUGAGCACAUCACCCAGGCUGGUGGGUCAGAACCCUUCCAUCUCCACACACUGACUCAUGCCAGCGAUGAGCCGGGGUUCCAUGGCACAGCAAGUAGAAUGUCCCUCUGGGCUUUUGGAAGAGCUCUUGGGAAAUAAAUGCGUCUGGGUUCAUGAGCUGUGAAAACGAUGUAAGUCAACUGGUAUAUUUACUACCACUCCGGAAGGGCAUUCCUGACAACAAAUCUAACAAAGAAAAAAAAAAAGCAGAGCUGAGACUGAAAAAAAAAAAAAAGAGUACAGGAGGAAGGUUGUGGGUAACAAUGAAGCAGAGAGAAAAGUCUUGGUGACCGUGUUUGAGGCUCCUAGUUCGAGCCAGACAUGAAAACAUACCCACUCCUGACAUUUUCAGUUAUGUUAGCCACCAACUCCUUUUUCUUGUCAGUUACUCUAAUUUUUGUGCUGUGGGCUGCAAACUUUUUCUCUAAAUAGCCAGAUAGUGAAUGGCAUCACCAACUCAAUGGACAUGAGUUUGGGUAAACGCCAGGAGUUGGUGAUGGACAGGGAGGCCUGGCGUGCUGCAGUCCAUGGGGUCGCAAAGCGUCGGACACGACUGAGCGACAGAACUGAACCAAACUGAAGCUCUGCACGUCACACGUUCUCUGUUACAACUACUCUCACUGUAACUUGAAUGCAGAUACAGACAACACAUAAACAAGCAUAACUGUGCUCCAAAAAUGCCCCUCCUGGGGACACCAAAAUGUGAAUUUCAUAUAAUUUCCAUGCAUCACUAAAUACUAUUUUAUCUUACUUUUCAAUAAAAACAUAAAACCAUUGUAGCUCAAGGGCUAUGCUCAACAGA
This is a long non-coding RNA of Bubalus bubalis (water buffalo), 2620 nucleotides long. RefSeq lists it as uncharacterized. The transcript has 3 exons. Lineage: Eukaryota; Metazoa; Chordata; Mammalia; Artiodactyla; Bovidae. The record is from RefSeq and is a predicted model, not a curated record.